CCUACGGGUGGCUGCAGUGGGGAAUAUUGGACAAUGGGCGAAAGCCUGAUCCAGCCAUGCCGCGUGUGUGAAGAAGGCCUUCGGGUUGUAAAGCACUUUCAGUGGGGAAGAAAGCCUUGGGGCUAAUACCCUCGAGGAAGGACAUCACCCACAGAAGAAGCACCGGCUAACUCCGUGCCAGCAGCCGCGGUAAUACGGAGGGUGCGAGCGUUAAUCGGAAUUACUGGGCGUAAAGCGCGCGUAGGCGGUCUGAUAAGCCGGUUGUGAAAGCCCCGGGCUCAACCUGGGAACGGCAUCCGGAACUGUCAGGCUAGAGUGCAGGAGAGGAAGGUAGAAUUCCCGGUGUAGCGGUGAAAUGCGUAGAGAUCGGGAGGAAUACCAGUGGCGAAGGCGGCCUUCUGGACUGACACUGACGCUGAGGUGCGAAAGCGUGGGUAGCAAACAGGAUUAGAUCCCCGGAGUC
This 463-nucleotide ribosomal RNA is filed under the name Vreelandella stevensii. RNAcentral's name for it is "partial 16S ribosomal RNA". It matches the Rfam family "Bacterial small subunit ribosomal RNA", at positions 338 to 795 of the family's 1533-position model. Lineage: Bacteria; Pseudomonadati; Pseudomonadota; Gammaproteobacteria; Oceanospirillales; Halomonadaceae. The record is from RNAcentral.